UUUUCAAAUUACAACAAUUAUUACCAAUAUUAUGGAGACUGAAAGUGUAAAUUUACGAAGUGGUAAGAAAAAAAGAAAUGAACAGACUAAACAAAGAAUAAGUGGUAAAUCGUAUGUGACGAGGAGAAGUCAUAUAAUUCAGGCAAUCCCGAAACCAUUAAUCGAGGAUGCUUCCAAUCACCUUUGAAUCUGUAUUGACCCUAAUUUCUCCAAAGUUAAAUAGAAAAAAGCCGGGUUACAAAUUUAUUUCAUCUAACAAACAGUUUUUAAUUGCAAUUUGGAAAAUGGCUAUUCCUGACUCUUAUAGAUUGAUUUGUGAAAAAUUUGAUGUGGGACGAGCAUCUGCAUUAUGAUGUAUAUGAAGAUUUGUGGUUGCUUUGGAAAUUUUAGCUCCAGCUUUCAUCACUUGGUCAGAUGAGGAAAAAACCAAGGAAAUGUCAAAUGGAUUUUUUUCAAUCAAUACCUUUCCAGAUAUUUUUGGAGUGAUUGAUGGGAUAUAUUAACAUUCCUGUGCCACAUGACCACCAAGAAGCUUAUGUUAAUUAAAAAGGUCAUAAUUCAAUUCAAUCAAUUCAAUUAAUUCAAACAAGUUUUAUGCGACCAUCAAUGCCGUUUUAUUCAUUGUUAUGCUGGAAAUGUUGGAUCAGUGCAUAACCAACGGGUAUUCAGAUUAUAUGAACUAAAAAAAUACCUUAAUAAUGCAACUAAAUUUACCAAAAACUCACGUUUGGUUGGUGAUGCUGUUUAUACAUUACACGAACAUCUCAUAAUAUGAUACUGUGACAAUGGGCAUUCAUAACGAUUUAAAAACGAUUACUUAUUAUGAAGGCCAAUAAGUUUUAUGUUGAUAUUAAACAAAAAGCAUAAGAAGCAAUAAUUAAUACAAAUAAAUUGAAUGUAUUGGCUUUUGACUACCAACAGAAUAUACCACAUAUCCCAUGUUAUAUUUUUUUCUAUACAAUGAAGCGACAGGACGAAAAGGCUAAAAUUAAGUCUUAAGUUUUCUUCACCACUAUUUUUCUGAAAUAAUGGAGAGCUAAGUUGAAACUGAAUUUAUUUUUACAGACAACUGCAGUGCUCAGAAUAAAAACAAUGCCCUUGUACAAUAUUUAUACACAUUAGCAAUGGAAAACUUAUUUGGGUUGAAAAAUUGUUCACUGUUAUCUUGAACCUGGUCACAGUUUCCUUCCCUGUGACUGGGCAUUUGGGUUAAUAGAAAAAAAAGAAGAAAGCUAGAAUGUGUGUUUUUACCUUAAGAGUAUAAAAAAAUAUAGUAGUACCUCCACUGGGAAGCUUCUACACUCUGUCAUUUAACACUGUCACUUUUAUUUUUAAUUAUUUUUAUUAUUUUUAUUUA
Long non-coding RNA from Sipha flava (yellow sugarcane aphid), 1357 nucleotides. RefSeq lists it as uncharacterized. The transcript has 4 exons. The record is from RefSeq and is a predicted model, not a curated record. NCBI's taxonomy places the organism in Eukaryota, Metazoa, Arthropoda, Insecta, Hemiptera, Aphididae.